This 594-nucleotide long non-coding RNA is filed under the name Canis lupus familiaris (dog). RNAcentral describes it as "lncRNA (ENSCAFG00000055156.1, ENSCAFG00845026147.1)". The record is from RNAcentral. Lineage: Eukaryota; Metazoa; Chordata; Mammalia; Carnivora; Canidae.
AAUUUUCAAGCAUCUCAAAACCUCAAGCAGAAGCUGAAGCCAGCUGCCUCCAUUCCUGCUCCUAACCGGACUAAGGAGGACCCGCUCUCCCUCCACUCUCUUUCCUUCUCCUCCUAAGCAUUAGCUGGAACCGCGGAAAAGAUAACCUUAAAACAGUAGGCUUCUGGGCAACCAGCAAUGAGGAACUGAAGCCCUUAGUUCAACAACUCACAAGGAAUAAGAUCCUACUAACAACUAUGUGAAUGAGCUUAGAAGCGUCUUUUCCCUCUGUUGAGCCUUCAGAUGACACUGCAACCAUGACCAAUAUCUUGAUUACAGCCAUAUAAGAAGGCAGAAGCACUGGUCCUUCCAUGCCCAGAUUCAUGACCCACAGAAACCAUGAAAUGACAAAUAUUUGUUCUUUUAAGUAACUAGGUUUUGAGGUAACCUGAUAUACAAUAGAAAACUAACAUAGCAUUUAUGUAAAAUUUUAAAGCACAUUAAAUUACAUUUGAGAAGCAUAUACUUAUGUGUGAUAUGUAAAAGCACAUGAAUAGGAACAAUAACACCAACUUAUAAAUAAUGCAUAUUUCUUGGAAUAGAGGAAGGGAAAGU